UGGGGAAUUUUGGACAAUGGGCGCAAGCCUGAUCCAGCCAUGCCGCGUGUCUGAAGAAGGCCUUCGGGUUGUAAAGGACUUUUGUCAGGGAAGAAAAGGCUGUUGCUAAUAUCGACAGCUGAUGACGGUACCUGAAGAAUAAGCACCGGCUAACUACGUGCCAGCAGCCGCGGUAAUACGUAGGGUGCGAGCGUUAAUCGGAAUUACUGGGCGUAAAGCGAGCGCAGACGGUUACUUAAGCAGGAUGUGAAAUCCCCGGGCUCAACCUGGGAACUGCGUUCUGAACUGGGUGACUAGAGUGUGUCAGAGGGAGGUAGAAUUCCACGUGUAGCAGUGAAAUGCGUAGAGAUGUGGAGGAAUACCGAUGGCGAAGGCAGCCUCCUGGGAUAACACUGACGUUCAUGCCCGAAAGCGUGGGUAGCAAACAGGAUUAGAUACCCUGGUAGUCCACGCCCUAAACGAUGUCGAUUAGCUGUUGGGCAGCUUGACUGCUUAGUAGCGAAGCUAACGCGUGAAAUCGACCGCCUGGNGGAGUACGGUCGCAAGAUUA
RNAcentral lists this ribosomal RNA (550 nucleotides) under uncultured bacterium. RNAcentral's name for it is "bacterial SSU rRNA". It matches the Rfam family "Bacterial small subunit ribosomal RNA", at positions 355 to 896 of the family's 1533-position model. The record is from RNAcentral.